GCGAGAAUAUUCGACAAUGGACGAAAGUCUGAUCGAGCGACGCCGCGUGUACGAUGAAGUUUUUCGGAAUGUAAAGUACUUUUAUGAGGGAAGAACGUUGACGGUACCUCAUGAAUAAGUGGUUGCUAACUCUGUGCCAGCAGCAGCGGUAAUACAGAGACCACAAGCGUUAUCCGGAAUUACUGGGCGUAAAGCGCGCGUAGGUGGUUUGUUAAGUUGGAUGUGAAAUCCCCGGGCUCAACCUGGGAACUGCAUUCAAAACUGACAAGCUAGAGUAUGGUAGAGGGUGGUGGAAUUUCCUGUGUAGCGGUGAAAUGCGUAGAUAUAGGAAGGAACACCAGUGGCGAAGGCGACCACCUGGACUGAUACUGACACUGAGGUGCGAAAGCGUGGGGAGCAAACAGGAUUAGAUACCCCGGUAGUCCCUGAGCGGGCUGGCAAGGCGCAU
This 448-nucleotide ribosomal RNA is filed under the name uncultured bacterium. Its description in RNAcentral is "bacterial SSU rRNA". It matches the Rfam family "Bacterial small subunit ribosomal RNA", at positions 355 to 825 of the family's 1533-position model. The record is from RNAcentral.